Molecule: long non-coding RNA, 1254 nt
Organism: Phyllostomus discolor (pale spear-nosed bat)
Lineage: Eukaryota; Metazoa; Chordata; Mammalia; Chiroptera; Phyllostomidae
Exons: 2
Source: RefSeq, a predicted model, not a curated record
GCAUGUGCCCUGACUGGGAAUUGAACUGGCAACCUUGUGGUUCACAGUGCCAGUGCUCAAUCCACUGAGCCACACCAGCCAGGGCUUGUUUGAUUCUUUAUUCAAGUUUGGUUUUUACUUGGAAUUUGGGUUUGAGGCAGAGGUCAGCGUUUAAAAGAGUUGUGCUAAAGGGUUUUUUCCAUUCAGGAGAAAUUCUUACUCUGAAUCAGCUGGUGGGGGUGUGGGCUGAGCCUGGGAUUUGGGCCCAAACUGGAAGAAAGAGGAGCAGAGGCAGAGCCAGGAGAGGAGCUGCUGUCACAUGUCUCAGAAAUGAAAUCAGCUUUGGGGUUGGUCUGGUGCUGGGUGAGAUGAGGCAGUAUCAAGAGGCUUUGUGUGUUGCGGGGGUGGAGGGGGGGGGAUCCUGGGGAUGAUGGGAAGAAGGCAGAGGUGCACCUGGGAGCCUAGGGCCCAUUCUCAGGACAAGAAUGUCAUUAGGCUAGUCCUUGUCUACAGCCACAUCCUUAUGUAGCUCUGUUGCUUCGUGCUUUCACUUAAGGAAUUAUUUUAGCACCCAAAGGGGACCUUAAAUUCCAAUCCCCUCAUGAAAGAAAUACAAAGCUGAAGCCCCGAGAGCAACAUAAUGACCUGUCAUGCCCUAGCAGCAAAUUAGAGCCAACAAAAUCACCUGAUGUUACAAUUCCAAAUUCAGUGCUCUUAACACAUGGAUGAUCUUGUUAUUCUUCAACUAAGCCUUUUUCUCCCCCUUGUUAGGGAUGAGAAAAGGGAGGGUCAGAGAGAGUGAGUGAGCAGCCUGAAACCAAAGGCAAAACUGGGAGGGGAAAGGUGGCCAGCCUCCAGGUUGGGUUAUGAAAGCUGUUUUGAAGUCACUUCCCUGUGAGUCAAAGUUGUCUUGAGUGUAUAGAUUAACUUGCCUGUCCAGUCCACAGUGUUCCAAAUUAGCUCCAUCUAGUUUUCUCUGUCAGACUUGUGGCUCUUCCACUCUGCUGAGUUGCCCUACCUGGGCUCAGCCCCUCUGUUCUCCAUCCCCACCCAGAGGAAACCUAAAGGGCAAACCCAUUUCCAGGGAAGCCUGAAGACCAGGAAAGGAGAGUGGAAAUUUCAGAGAGAUGUGUUCUAAGCAGUCAACAAGUGUGUACAGACAUUUCCUGUGUACCAGGCCCCAUGCAAGAUUCUGGUACACAGAGGUGAAUGACAGGCAUUAUCCCUGCCUGUCAAUGCUUAUGGUCCAGCAGGGCAGACAGCAAGGAAUAACAA